RNAcentral lists this ribosomal RNA (468 nucleotides) under uncultured bacterium. RNAcentral's name for it is "partial 16S ribosomal RNA". It matches the Rfam family "Bacterial small subunit ribosomal RNA", at positions 28 to 507 of the family's 1533-position model. The record is from RNAcentral.
GACGAACGCUGGCGGCGUGCUUAACACAUGCAAGUCGAACGGAAAGGCCCUGCUUUUGUGGGGUGCUCGAGUGGCGAACGGGUGAGUAACACGUGAGUAACCUGCCCUUGACUUUGGGAUAACUUCAGGAAACUGGGGCUAAUACCGGAUAGGAGCUCCUGCUGCAUGGUGGGGGUUGGAAAGUUUCGGCGGUUGGGGAUGGACUCGCGGCUUAUCAGCUUGUUGGUGGGGUAGUGGCUUACCAAGGCUUUGACGGGUAGCCGGCCUGAGAGGGUGACCGGCCACAUUGGGACUGAGAUACGGCCCAGACUCCUACGGGAGGCAGCAGUGGGGAAUAUUGCACAAUGGGCGGAAGCCUGAUGCAGCAACGCCGCGUGCAGGAUGACGGCCUUCGGGUUGUAAACCGCUUUCGCCUGUGACGAAGCGUGAGUGACGGUAAUGGGUAAAGAUGCACCGGCUAACUACGUG